GCGGUGUUAGCUCAGCUGGGAGAGCAUAUCCCUUACAAGGAUAGGGUCGGGGGUUCGAGCCCCUCACACCGCACCA
RNAcentral lists this transfer RNA (76 nucleotides) under Bacilli bacterium. Its description in RNAcentral is "tRNA-Val". It matches the Rfam family "tRNA". Rfam says of the family: Transfer RNA (tRNA) molecules are approximately 80 nucleotides in length. Lineage: Bacteria; Bacillati; Bacillota; Bacilli. The record is from RNAcentral.